UGAGAUGACUCAGCAGUUAGGAGUACAUACUGCUCUUACAGACACAGGUUUGGUUCCCAGAUUGCACAUGGCAGUUUAUAACUGCCCAUAAUUCUAGUUCCAGGUGGUCCAGUGACUUCUUCUGACUUCCAUGGCCUCUUGUACACAUGUAGUACACAUGCAUACACUUACACAGAGACAUAUGCCAAUUUUGAAAAAUUCUUUCAAAUUAAAAGUACAUUACAGUAAUAAAGAAAAAUAGAGGGAGUAAGGAAUAGAGUAUGGGACUGUCAUUCUUAAAACCACUAUGCUGUGUAAGGUUUGAUCAUUUUGUAUGUUACUUUGUUAAUAUUAUCUCUAUCUAGUUUUUUUCUUAUAAUUGAUAACUAUAGAUAUUAUAGUCUUUUCAUUUAGGAUGAAUAAAUAUUUUAUGCAUUGAUUAUAAUUUUUAAUGCUUAUGUUCAUGUAUCAAUAUUUGAAAACAAAUUACAAUACUGAUGGCUAUUUAGAGUUCUGGUUUCAUUUUGUUGUUGCCAGGCUUGCUAAUGCUGCAGGGCAAGUCUGUAUGCUCCAUAGAGUGAGUCUUCAGGACUACAAUAACCAGCUAGAGGCCUGACAGCAUUUUCUGAUUAUUUAAAUAUGAUUUAAAUAGGAGACAGUUACAAAGUGUGCGACUAUAUAUGAGUAGUACCUUCUUCCUUGUUUGUGUUCUGAAACAGUGUCUAGCCAUGUUAUUCAAGUGACCCUUAACUCUUGUCUCAGUUUCUCCCUAAUAGCUGUGACUGCAAGUACACACCGUCACACUCUGCUAACACUUUUCUCCUUUAAUUUUAGGUUUUUGGUGUUCAGAUAGGGCCUACUGUGUAGCUCAGAUCUUUCUGGAACACUGUGUAGACAAGGCUGGCCUGGAACUUGCUCACACUGAAAUCACAGGUGUUGCCACCACACCUAGUUUAGUGCCUAGGCUUUAUUUAUUUACUUACUUAUAGCUCAUCUAGUUCUUACCACACCCUGUGUUGUGGCAAAUGUUUAUGCAUAAAUAAUCUCCUCUCUAUUAUAUGUCAGGACUAUACAUAUUUGCAUGCUUUUCUUUGGCUAACAGAGUGCUUUCUUAGAUAAAUAUAUUUAUAGCUCUGAAUAUAUUUAUAGCUCUGGCAUUGCUUAAGGAGUGGGAUGUGAGUUCAUUGUUUAGUGUGAAGUGUCAUACAUAAAAGGUUAAUACAAAUGUCAUCAGCAGGAAGUUACAGCCAGUGUUCUGACAAUAGGAGUGUUAUUUGUCUUGUAGGUGGGGGACCUUAGACUAGCACUGCAACGGGCAGAGCAAACUGCUGCGAGGAAAGAGGAUUAUUUACGCCAUGAGAUCAGUGAACUUCAGCAGAGACUCCAAGAAGCAGAGAAUCGAAACCAAGAACUGAGUCAAAGUGUUUCAUCAACAACAAGACCAUUGCUCCGACAGAUAGAAAAUUUACAGGCAACUCUAGGCUCUCAGACUUCAUCGUGGGAGAUGCUAGAGAAGAAUCUUUCUGACAGGCUUGGUAAUCUCUUUAGUAUUUUAUGUUUGAUGCAGGAGAGUUUUUGUCUUGUGUAUAGAAGUAGGAUAGUGGUAUGACAUUGAAAUUCAUCUGAUCUCACAGUGACAUUUGGUGUCUAACAUGUAUAGAUUUGUUUCCCCCUUUUUCAUGUUUAUAUUAAUACCUCAAUAAUGACUCUUCUAAAUUAGUUUUCCUUA
This is a non-coding RNA of Cricetulus griseus (Chinese hamster), 1708 nucleotides long. The record is from RefSeq and is a predicted model, not a curated record. Lineage: Eukaryota; Metazoa; Chordata; Mammalia; Rodentia; Cricetidae.